AGACCAACCCCCCGCCCCCUUUUUUUUUGUCAUGACAAGACGAGAACUUCCCCAAACAAACUGUCACAUCGCAGUUUGAGAUACUAAGAACGCACGCGGAAAAUAAAGCGUUAGGGGUUGUUUUGUGGGAACGCUGAGAGCGCUCAUGCCAGGGCCUGCAGAGCCCAUUACGAAGCGCGUCCUGCCCAAGGUUUUCCUCCUGAAAAGGAAAAUAACAAAACCCGUGAAGCUGCAACAAACAGCUCAUUUCUUACAGAUCUCACACUGGAGGACAACCAUUCUCUUCUCACCGCAAACUGCUCCAUUUGUCUCAUCACUCUUCUGGAGCAGAACCUAGUAGGUGCACCAGUGCAAGUUGACAGUGACUCCACCUCGGUCUGUGUCAUUUUUCAGUUUUAUAUCAGCAUAAGCAAGACCAGAAUCAAAUCCUGGUUUUUCUCCAAUGCGUUGGACCAGUUUUGGCAUCGUUCAGCUCUUCAUACAAAGACCCAGUGGCUUACAGCAGAGUAUCAGGCUGCAGGAGUGACAGAGAAGGAUGAAGAACCUUUAUCGUUUGCGUUACCUAUGAAUGGACCAAGCAAGCUGGCAGGUGCUCUGUAGUACAGCACCUUCGGGCAGGGUGGAAAGAAGGGCUGCUAAGGGAGGCCACAGCUCCAACCCAGUUUGCACAGGAGUGAAACCAGACCCUGAAGCAGCAGCAGAAAGGACAACAACUGAUAAAGGGAGAAAGCAAGAGAGCUGCGGCAGUGAUUUUCCAUUUUAUUUAUGGCGACACUGUGUAGCAAAAUGUAAAAAUAGAUCUCAGUGCUGACAGUUUCGUUGCUUCUUGAUCUCAGGCUGGCACUUUGGAGCUCCCACCUCCACCACCUGUGAGGAGCAGUGCCCGCGCAAAGGGAUCGGGUGAAGACUUGAACCUGAUGAAUGAGGCGACUCUCAAGAAAUCAAAGGUGAAAACAAAACAGGAAACAAUUUACAGUUUGUUUUUCUUGGAGGAGACUCGGGCUGAAUCUUGCUCUCCUGAAACUCAAGUCAAAGGGAUGAGUCUUGUGAAUGAUGAGAGAGAAGACUGGGAACUAGAGACACAGCAAAAUCCUCCCAAAGGGGGAUAUGAGAAAUAUCAUUAUAGCUGAAAACAGAAACAUCUGGCUUCUGUUACAGGCUUUUCCAAACAGUACCCUAUUUGCAUGACAGGUGAGCAGUGGAUCAUGCUGUGUGAGAGUUUUUGAUCCAAAAAAGCCUUACUGAAGGAGACAAUGAAUGUUUCAAAAUCAAUGGCCUGAACAAGGCAUCAGUGGUGAUGACCACACAACCAAAAAAGCAAAAAAUCCUAGUGAGGGCAACUCUAGCAAGUACAGAAUCCAUUCUAUCGUUAGCUUUUCUUUUGAAAGCCACUCUUACAGAAAUGCCCCUCUUAUUGAUUCUACUGCCAAGCCAUGCAUCUUAUUUUUUUAGGAGAAAAAAUAAUCUUUUAAAUGCAUAUAAGUAAUUAUUAAACAAGAACAAUCAAAUGACAAAAGAGACAGAGAAUGGUCAUGGCUUCUUUGUAACUCAGGGAAGGUGUUUGUAAACCAGAAAGGGAAAUAACAUGGAAAUAUCUUUUCAGAAAGGGACAACAGUAUUUAAUGGCAUGGAUACGUCAGCCUUGCUUGUUUUAAACAUUUUUAUUGCCCACUGCUGCAGGAAGCAGCUGCAACACCCGUUGUCAUUAAUACUGCAGGUGUGGUGCAAGUAUUGCCACACUCGUCUAAACUUUUAAUGUCCUCGGGGGACUGCACGGGGGAAUGACUUUGAUGGAUCGCAGUUGCACUUGAAACCGAGCUAGGAAAGAUUAUCGCAUUUCAGGCAGAGAGAUUCCACUCACCUGAUUGUUUUUUGUUCUGAUGAGAUAAUUUUUCUAAUUAACCUUGGUAACAUAGACACACAGGCCUAUCCACACAUAGAUGGAAAUACAUUUUCAAAUGGGCAUUUAACUUCUACCCGUGUUUUCUAGCAAUGAAUACAGAAAUUUAACACUUUGGUUGCCAACUGUUUCAUUUAGGAAACCAAAGCUGAACCUCUCUAACAGAAGCAGAAGUCGCCCACAAGAGCCUUUGGCAGAAGUCCACACUUCAUGAGCACCCAUGUGUUUUGCAGAGGCUGAUUGAAUAAGGAGAGCAGUGUGAACUUGAGGGCAACCUUACAGUGUCAGCUGCCAAUUUCUGUUUAUUCCUCUUUGAUGUUUAUUAAGGAAGUCAGUGAUGCUGUCCUUUUCUAAGCAGGGUCUGAGCAACUGAAAAAAUGUUUUCACAGCCAAAUCAUGCUGGAACCUGGUCCUUUGGAAAUGUUCAGUGUCUGAGCUUUGCCCCUCACACCAUCCCACUUAGGAACAGGAAGGACCAUCUCAUCAUCCUGCUGAAUUCACAUGAAAAUCAUCCUGGAAGCAAAAUGAACUAUUCCCCCUUCUCUCACCUACUUUGUUCAGUUUUAAAAUUACUCAAGUGCCCAGCCAGUGUUGCUUCCAGAAAUUUCUCAAAGCUUUCCGGAGUCCCCUUGCUCCUGUCUGGCUUUAUGCCAACGCCGAUUUUCUGCUACACAGAGCUGGAAAAGCAGUUCUCUGCUUCCCAAAAGGCGCCAUGGCACCUGCGAGAAAGAACAAGCAGUUCCCUGGUCAUCUUUUCACCACGUCCUUUGGACUUGCUGCGGGUGGGCUGAGGCGAGCGCUGCUCUGAAGGGCUUUGCCAGAGCACUUGCUGGAGCUGGUGUGUUUCUCUGAUACAUGAAAGAUGCUAAAGCUUGCUGAGAAGGCAAUAUAAAAAAUAAUCUAACACAUCAUCUAGGCUCAAAUGCAAUAAAUGUGAAUUUAUUCCUAAGCAUUGAUCCUAUUUUUGAGUCUCUGACUAUGGUGAUAUCAAUAGAGCAGUGUUUAAAAGGAGCUGCAACAUCAGUUCAUAAACCUUCAUACAGGCAGAAGAACUGAGAAACUGUAAUAUAGGUAACAACCUGUAUUUUCCUCAGGAGCUGGGAAUUCAAAUUCAGGGAGAAGGUUUAGCAGGAUACUUGGCACCAGCUAAAUGAAAUUUAAGAGAGGGCCAAUGUAUAUAUGAGUUUUAAGAAGACAGCAAUUUUAGACAUAUCACAAUUCUCUUUUAUCUCUUCAAAUGUCAUGCCGGUACCUCACCACAAAUCUGCCUUUCCCCUUCUCAGAGAGAGCCUACUCCAGUUUUUGCCUCAGCUAGGUUUAGAUGAAGCCAACAGUUAGCUGUCCACUUUCAUGGGACUUUAUAGGUCUUUUAACACAUCUGACAAAAGAUGCAGUUGCUGUGGGUGAGCAUUACUUUGUUAAGAAGAAGUGAUCACUCUGUGGGAUUGGCUUUCUUUACCUGUAGCAAGUUUUUGGUCUUAUUCGUCUUGAAAAAAUCAAUGACACUUUCCAUUUCUGAGCCAGUUUUACAAAGAUUGUAAAAUUAAAGUGUUUUGAAAACUAAAACAUGCCAAUACUCAGAAAUUAGUAACUUUAAACCCCAGCUGUGUCAUUGGCCUGCACAUGCUGGUGGGGAGCUACCAUUCACCCAAACCUCAAAAACAUUCUUCAUGAUGGUUCACAAAUAAUUUGCGAAAAUUUAGACUUGAUACUGUGUAUAUUUUUUUGGCUCAAUGGGUAACACAGUUCUGAUAAAGUGUUAUGUUUUUCGAGAUACACUUUGGUGAGGGUCUUUGUUUCACUUUACUAAUUUCUGAGGCAUACAGUCUUUCUACUUCAUCAGCCUUUGCUAUAAAUUUUAAAUGACACAGACAGAGAAAGAACAGAUGGAAAUAAUAAUAAUUGCUUACUUUGAACAUUGCAGGAAAUGCACAAUGACUAUAAGGUCUCAUCCAAAGUUAAUGCAAAGACUAUCAAUCUAUUGUACUUAUAUUGCUUUCGUUACUGUAUGAUCUGAGCAUCUCAGCAGCUUUCAGAAAUUUAUUCUCAGGACUACUUGAGGUGGGGGAGCAUAUUUUUCCUCAUUUCAUUGAAGCAGAGAAAGACUUGUGCUUCCCAAUGUCAUAGACACUGAUGGAGCAGGAAUUUGAAGUUGGAUGUUUCGGUGUAACCGCGUGGCCUGCGUUCAGGGUGGGUUCUGGGUCCAGCUCAGCCUGACAGGCAUUUGUCGUCUUUAAUCCCAAGCACUUCAAGCCAUAUGUGGACUACAGUACCAAGUGUGAUGACCAAGUGGACUAUAACAGCUGUUUAACCAUCUCACAUGCCUAAGUACAUCAAAAGCUAGUUCUAGUGAAGUGAAUCUCAAGAAUUUAUAAAGGCAUUAUGAAUCAUACCAAAAUCCAUGUGAUUUUUCUACUGUUUGCUAAAAUGGUCUUGUCCCUCUCAGGUGAUAUGCAUGUUAUUAACUGAACAGGGUGUGAACAGAAAAUCACUGACAAAGGAGUCCUGCUAAGCAUAAAUAACAUGACCUUUCUGAUAAUCAGGAGCAAAACCAGUCAGAAUAUCUCACUGAUGUUUCUUGCCCAUGUUUCACUGCCCUGGGCACCUGAUCCUACCACAUCUGUUAUCUCCCUUGAUCCACCUGCCACAUUGCAGUUGUACCUCCCUCCUGCUUUCUCACGGGACAUUCCCAGGGGCAGAGUUUCCCAUUCAGCAUCUUUUGGCACACUUGUGCCUUGACGUCCUGGUGCCUUCAUCCCACCAGUCCCAUCCAUGAUGUUCUACACUGGUGGGUCACCAUGCUCGUGGCUUGCCCUCCUGGGCCCAUGCACCACCGCAUCCCUGUAGCAUCGAGCAGCCACGAAACUCCUCCAGCAUCCCCAUCUGACACAGUGCUCUGCAACACCCUGGUGUUGGUUAUAAAGUUCCCUUGUAUAGGGGAUUGUGCACAAGAAUUUGGGAUACGGAGGCCUGCAUUGUGAGGAACACCCUCCUGCUUUAUAAAACAGGUUUGGGCCAAUCACAGCUGAAGGUUUUACUCUGCUAGAGGGAGGAUCAGUACUUCAUUCAUGCACUAAGUGGUAGAUCUUACCUGUUACGUUUUGUUCUGGAUGAAAGCAGUGUAAUAGUUUAUGUGACAAGCGAGCCUGCAGCAAACGGGGUGUCACCAGCAUCCACAAAAAUGAUUCUUGUGAAACAGGAAGCAAGAACAUUGGGUCUGAAAAGAGAUGCAGUAUUUUAAACAACACAGGAUAUAAAAUGAGAUUUUGGGGUUAAAGGUUUGGGUGAUUGUUUUGUUUUUGAAGAAAGAAAACCAGGAAUAAUAUGUGAACAUUCAUCAAACAUGUCUACACAUUUGCUACAUGUGCAGUGCAUGAAGCGUGCAAUUUUGGGUCAUUGUGUGUGAUACGUGUAUAACAAUAACAUAGAUAUUAAUUUGAAGUAAAUGUGUUCUGAAUACAGGGCUUGUGUGAUUUCCAGGAAGUACAUGAAGACAGCGUGAAGGGCUUAGCUAUGGGGAUUGGAAUAGGAGGGAGAACUCAGAAACCGUAGUUAAAGAACUUAAAAAGAACAUCUGAGAAGAUGAACCUUUUGAUAGGAUUUAAACUGCCUAUGGGAUUCAAGAGCUUUAAUCAACAAAAGCAGCUUAUUUCAUCAAUGUCAUGAGCAAUAGCAGAAAAGGCAUCAUCAGCGAAGAACACUGCAGAAAACAAUUUCUCUGGUUUAAAAAACUGUUUAGAGAAAUCUGAGACUCCUCCCUUUGUCUGGUGACCAUCUGGAUGGAUUUUGCUUUGGAAAGCCUGUCCUGAACUUGAAGCAAACAAACAUUUGUUCACAUGGUGGGAAAGAAAAGAUUGAAGCAAUGUGCCAGAACUGGAAAAGUCGCCCAUGCAUAUCAGUAUAUUUACCUAGAGCAAGAAAAAUGUGCUUUUUAUUUCUGGGACAUUAUCUUUAGUCCCCUUGAAAAGGUCUCCUUGACCAUCCUGAAUAGCAUAAAGUCAGGAAAAAGAUACUUCUUGUUUUCCCAUAUAUGACAUAUAUUUCUAUAGUACAUAUUUGCAUUCAGGAUCUGUUACCAGAAGACUCUUGCAGCAUAUUAGAGUCUCUGAGGGUUCAUUUUUAUGUUCCUUAAUGAGGUUUUAGCCACCCCAAAGGCAGUUUGUGGUAGGCAGUUCCCUGGGGAGGAGGUGCCGGCAGCCCAGAGCACACCACAGGGUUUCUGGUGAGUUCUGCAGGGCCCGUACCCGGCCAGGCAGCGGUGCCAGAUGGUGCCUCCUGCACCAGGCUGGGAUGCCAGAGCCAAACCCCGGCCAUGGUGGGCAGCUGGCUGUCACACUGAUGGACCCAAAGCCAUCAGCUGCUGCCAGGGCCCUAUCCAAGACCUAUAAAGAGGAAUAGAGAGUAAACUCUAUAAUAGGGAGGGAAAAUGCAACGAGGCAAAAAUGUUUAUUUUCCUUUACGGUUAGCCAUUAGGAAUUUGGGUGGCACUGUUUUGGAUGGACCCUGGGCAACUCUGUCUCUGUGUUUCAAUCUGUUCACUCAAACACUCAUUUAAAUGAGCUGGCAGUUCAGGUGAUGGCUGAUUCCCCUUUCAAGCUAUUUAGCAUCAUUGGCUGUUUCUUUGCUAACUGAAAUAUAUUAUAUCCUUUGACAAAAAAACAGUGACUGCUAAAAAUAUACACAUCAAACCCAGACAGCAAGUAAACUUUUACGUUCUUUAACAUUCCCGAUUGUCAAUAUUUACUAUACCUCUGAACCUGCCUCACCCAGUGCACAAAGUCAGGAGGAAUGUUUUAUUUCAUAUUUCUUCUUUUCACAGCUUUGAGUAUGGUGUAAGUAACUUUUGCCAUAAAGUCAGCUAACAUGAUCCUUAACCUUAGACACAUAUAAUUUACAAAUGUAAAAACGAUGGGUUGUCAUAUUUAUAUGAAUCCACAUAUAGGCUGAAAAGUUAGAAUAUUUGGAAGGACCUGAUACAUACUCCCCAAAGGACACUGAUAAGUUUUACAUUGACUCUUGCUUGCUUGUGCACUAUCAUUGCACUGGCAGAAAGACAAACGCGUUGCCUGACUAACAUAAAGUAGUUCGAGGCUACUUCGCUAGUGUAUAUUUUGACAGGCUAAUGUGCAUUUUUGUAGGUGCAAAUAUACGUAUAUCUAAAAUACAAACCUGGAAGAGUUUAAGUUCAAGAUGAAACACCUUUUCCUUAAAGACAAUUUUGAUAUUUUUUUGUUUUAAAAUUACCUUGAAGUGAACUACAAAUUAUUCAGUGUUAAAAGGAAUGGCAAAGGUUUAAAAUAAAGUAUAUGUGUUAAAAGACUUUAAAUUCCAGUUGAAACUUUCUGAAAUUUUUAUAGCAAAUUGAGGGCACCUAUACAGGCACAUAUUGCCUUCCCGCCAGCAUUGCAGACUCUGAGAGCUGAAUUAUUAGGAAAGCUCUUUUGCUGGAUUUCAGACAAAUCACUUUAAUGUGCCAAAAUUGAUUUGGCAUGAAAUCAUCAAUAGACCCUCCAGAAUACUAAUAGCAUUAAAGACAGAGGCCAGGGCUGUCAAAGUUGCUUGGCUAAAGUUGGGCUCAUAAAUUAGUAGUCAGGCACCCAAAUUAAAGUCUUCUGCUUCCAGAUGUGCUGUGUGUCUGUUGGUCCAGCUGAAGAGAUUGCAGCAAGGGACACAUGGGGGCACUGGGGAUACUGGGGAUGAGGGGAAGAAUUCUUUUAAUGGAUUUGCUUCUCAGCUCAAGUCUUCAUCUACAAGCCUCAGAUGCUGUAUGUAACAACCCUAGGUAGUAACGUAACCACUAUAGUUUUGUGCGUUUAUAAUUUUUUAAAACAAGUCCACAGAUCUUGACUAUGAAUAACAUGCCUUUUUUUUCAUCUUUCAAAAACACCCUUUCAACUCCCCUCAUGGCCUUGAGUGAGACUUCUCCCAUCCUCUGCUUACUUGUCCGUAAGACAGCAAAGAUAAUGCUUAUUUUCCAUGUAUGCUGUGAACAUCUCUCAUUAUAUUCAGAUACUUUCCCUAAAGCAAAAAUUUCCUGUAGGAUCUCUGGAAUGGAAAUAUAGAAGAAUUUUCUUCCCCCAAGCUAGUUGUACUUAUGGAAAUUAAGAGUGUGAAACAGCAUUUGGAUUGGGUCUUUAGGCAAUCAGAUACAUGCGUGCUAUCUCUGUAACAUUUAGGGACAGAAUCGUUGGGUAACAUAAAUCUGGUUUCUUUAGUGAAUUUUUAAAACUUUCCUUUGGUAGUGGUAUUGAUUCAGUUCAGCAGAGGUCUGGGCCUCUGCCUUUUCAGUAGCAACGUUUGCUAAAAUGACUGGGAAAAGUACUGUACAGGAGGAGAUCUGCAGCCAAGCAACAACUCAAGGGAGCUAAAACUGUCGUAGCUGAUUAACAGAAAUGAAAGCUGCUCAGAAACAAAUCUGAGUAUGAAUUUGGAGCACAAGAAUUAAUUGAGAAGGGGAUUCUCUUUGUACUUCUUUUAGUAGGUCAGACAGUUUAUCCACUAAGAUGCCUUUGAAGCUGCCAGCAAAAGAGGCGUCACUGUAAAGAUGAAACGAGCUAGUGAGUGAAGUCAUCUGUUUGUCCUAAACCCCACUAUUCUGAGUGAAUUAGUUGCACGGUGAGUAACAGAAGUCUAAGCCAAAGAUGCUCCACUAGCUUUUUCAAAGAGAGGCUAAGAAAGAGAUAUCUGUGGCAAGCGAUGAGCUGACAGUAACAUGCAGCCUCUGUUAGUGCAAGAACAGGGACGUAAAGCUGGAAGGGUGAAUUUCUGCUUCAUUCACACAGCUGUGCAAUGCUUCUGCUUUAAUAUUUCUGCUUUCGCCGCAGAAAACACCAAAGGACUGAAGGCACUCAUGGAACGGUGGUGCAGGACAGGUGAAAGUUACAGUGCUAUUGUGGUGACUUAGUAGACGACUAUUCACGUAGCCACACGGGAGUUUUUAUAUUGGUGUUAAUGGGGUGAGGCUCACAAGAAUUUGCACAGGAAUUGACCUCUAGCAUAGACGAAAAAGACUGCAGCUCCUGCUGAGGUCAAUGGGAGGGAGAGAUUUCACUAAUAACAUACAGAAAAGUAUUUGAGAAAAAGAAACGCGCAUUCAGAGCAAAGCGAAUGAACCGUUUGUUCUAAGACUUGGCUGUUUGAAGAUACUGACAGUAGAAAAAUUCACUUUUUAAAACUGCCUCUGCCCUUAAUGCAUAAAGACCACGUAAGAUGAUUGUCCCAAAGAGGGCAGGAAUAAAAGAGAUAUUAAGAUCUUGCAGUCCUGCUCUUCCUCAUCAGACAGGAGUUGUGGCAGAUCGUGCCAUCCUCUGCCUCCAGCAUCCAACCUUGUACCCAAGGAAUCACUCACCCUUCGCUGAGGAUCAGUUAGGUAUAAGAAAUGGAGGAAAAGAGGAUGCAGUCACAGAAUAUGACACAUUUUAGGAAGUAAAUCGUGAAAACAAUACUUCUUUAGCCAUAUUUUUCCACACCUAUAGCUCCAAAACCAAUAGAUGAGGCUUUUUGUCAUGAUGCUGUAUUAUGUUGUAUUUAUUGUUUUUUCCAGCCUAAAGUGCUUUGUGUGUGAGAUUAAAAAGCUGCAAGUCUCAGGCCAUCUGGCCAACCAAAUGGAUUUAGUGUACAGGAUCACUGCCAGAUGUAUGCCAGUUGUAAGUUUAAUUUUUGAACAUAUAAAGUGCCUGGGGCUCUGUGUCUGUUAUUCAGAGGAAAUCAUGUUCCCGUUUUCCAAAAUAAUACAGAUACAGUUUGAAUCUGGGUGUAUGGUCUCUUCUCCUUCACACUGUUUAAGGAAUAUUCUUUGUUUCUCAUAAAGAAAAACAAUGGCAAGAGAAUUUUGCAUAUAUCUGACACAUUAUGUAUUUUUGAUCACAUCUGUCUGACCUUAUGGAACAGUAGGAAACACAGCCAUAAGUUUUCUUAAGGAGCUUCAUAGAAUUUGUUUAAUUGAAAGAUAAAAUUGCACAGAGUACUUUAGAUUAAUUUGCACUUACAUUUAUUUAUGAUCAACUUGGAGAAUAAAUAUGUUUUCAAGUAUAUAAUAGUUUGUAAUGUCUUAAAAGUGAUAUUUAAUUGAUUUGACUUAUUUUUAAAGAGGAGCUGAUGGAAGAUGAGAUACUUUUUUAGCUUUAUAGACUGUAAGAAGGAUAAAGUGCAUUUAAUUUUUUAUUUUGCAAAUGUUCUGCCAUAACAAGUUCUACAGCACAUCUGAGAUAGAUAUUGUGGAAAUGAGGAAAGGUGUGAGCGCAGAUACCUCUGGGCUUUGCAAAAAGGUCUGGAGGGUUUUGUUCAAAACAGACCAGUUGAAAUCCAGGGUAGAGCACGAUUUGGGUGAUGGGAAACAGUGAUUUGCGGGUCUGGCUUUCCUGCCUAACGCACUGCUGCCCACAUCAGUGUAUUUCUUUGCUGCUGCGAUACUGAGGUUGAAUUACUUCCUCCUAAACAGACCUGAAGGCCCAAUGAAUCAGAGAUAAAUGUUUGGAAAGGAAAGAAAAACUUGUUUGUCAGGGCAGAGUAAUUCUCCCCUGUCUGAUGGAGCCGUGAGGAGAAGCCACUGAAAACCCAUUGUCCCCAGCAGCCAGGGGCUCCUGCAGCGGAUCUCGGUGCCCUGGAGAGGCACGGCCGCUGUGCCCACUGCAUUCCGCAGUUUCCAUCAAGUUAAAGUAUAUGUAGACAAAAAUAGGUACAAAUAUUUGGAAAAAGAGGGAUGGCAGUGUUGCUAGAAGCAGAGUCUCUGAUAGGAAUUUAUUUGCAAGCGUCUUGAUCACUGCAGACAAAUCUCAGUCUUCCAGGAUUUCCAUUAGCCUUGAGAUCAGCGUGCUUGCUCCUGGAGAUGGGUGGGAAGUUUUUGUGAGCAGCUCAGAUUGGUACGUUAGCAGCCCAGAUGAUUACGCAGUGGAAAGGGCUCCAUGUGGUUUUGGGUGCAUCUUUCCAAUGAAG
Molecule: long non-coding RNA, 10834 nt
Organism: Columba livia (rock pigeon)
Lineage: Eukaryota; Metazoa; Chordata; Aves; Columbiformes; Columbidae
Exons: 6
Source: RefSeq, a predicted model, not a curated record